UGGGGAUUCACCGGUGCACAUCAGACCGUCCUGGAGCUCAGGAUCGGGCCCCGAUAUUUUAUCGGCCCGGGGAGCUAGCUAAUAAUGCACCGGACACUACAACACGUAUGGCAUUAGGAGGCAUUUUUUUGCCAGCGUUUUUGCUAAACGCCUCAAAAUCAUGCCAUUGAAGGCACUUUCUAAAAAUGCCUCCGAAGCUCACAGCCUUCAAGGGCAAUUUGGAAAAUUGCCUGCAAAACAGGGGGAAAGCAAGGCGUUCUCAAAAGUGCCGCGGAGUUUAGCCGGCGUUUUGGCGUAAAAUGCCUCGAAUGCUUUGUCUACAUUACCUAUAGAUGUUCACUUUUUUAAGGAAACAACCCUCCCACCUGCUGCCUUUCAAAGUGUGUGAAAAUAAAAAACACAUAACAUCGCGGCCGGCGCGUCGCUGCUCACCAUCGCCGUUGCUCCUCCGUGGGCGCCUCGUCGUCGCCGCCGGAGCCUCCUCCGCCACCGGUGCUCCACACCGGAUCCUCCGCAGCCGUCGCGGCAGCCGCGUCCGCGACGACCUGCACCGCCAUCUCCACGCUGUGCCUCUUCUUCUCUCAUCCCCAAUCUCGGGGUGGGAUUGCAGUGGGCGCGGUGAAGGAGAGGGGAGAUCGAGGCUCGGAGAGGAGGAGGGGCAAGGUGGUCCAGGAAAUGAACGAAUCAGCGGCGAUCCUCCCCACGCCAGACACGAAUAUUGCUGGUUGCAGUUGAUCCGACGCCCUGGUGCACAGAAGGUGUUCGAGCGGUAGCAACAUAUUUGAUGAGCCAUUUAUCCUCGCAACUCAAGCUACCCAAGUCUAUUAUGUACAAGAUUCUAUAGAGAAGGAUUGGUACGUUGUGGUUCAUCCACCUGCAAGAGACUUCUUUGAUAUGGACGCUAGAAUUGAUGGGCAUGAUGAUGUCCACCUGCAAGAGACUUCUUUGAUAUGGAUCAGGAAAAAAUGAUGACUUUGAGAUCAAGAUCUGAUGCAUUUAAUCAGUCCCAUGUGUCUGACCAUGAACGGAGAUUGAAUGGGCUGAAUUAUAGAGUCAGAGAAGUUAAUCCACCACAAAUGGAAUGCAUCAAUGUUAUCAAGCAAAAACAGAAGCUUCAAACAGGGAUAAAUUAAAACGCUUCACUAUGGUAAGCUCUUAAACUACAGGAAGUCAGGUGACCAAGCAUCAGGCUCGUUGCAUUACCUCAGAAUGUGCUGUGAGGAAUACGUUGAAGAGAUAGAAGAUAUGUGAGACAACAAGGUCAUAGAUGUCAUCCGAAAGUCGAAGUUGAUGGUGACACACGGCUGAUUGGUUUGUGUACUUCGAAUUGAUUGCAUCAAGUUGGAACACUCUUUACAACAUUGUUUCAACAGUAGGCAGUUUACCUGUGUGUUACAUUGUUGUCGCAACAGUAGGUAGUCUACCUGUGUGUUACAUUGUUGGUCCUGUGUUGGUGAUUGAUACUUUAAUGUCGUUUUCGAAUUUGUGAAGAUGUUCUGAUGCUUUACGUUAUUCGCUUGCACAAUGAUACUUCUAGCCAAUGCAAGCCUCUCAAUCUUGUUCUACUGUUGUAUAUAUGUGUUUGUACAGUGGUUGCAAAUUAGUGAGCUUGCUGCAACAGUGUUUUUAAUUAUAAUCUUACAUGUCUGUAAAGUUUGUGGCGUUCUUAUGUGCCUCAGAAACAUUUUGAAGGCAAGUCGAAAGACGCCACAAAAAGGUUUUAGAGGCGAUCUUAAG
This 1737-nucleotide ribosomal RNA is filed under the name Triticum aestivum (bread wheat). Its description in RNAcentral is "partial small subunit ribosomal RNA". Lineage: Eukaryota; Viridiplantae; Streptophyta; Magnoliopsida; Poales; Poaceae. The record is from RNAcentral.